GAUUGAUUAGGCAUGCAAGUCAAACGAGAAAGGUUUCGCAAGAGCCGAGUAAAGUGGCGGAAGGGCGAGUAAUGCGUAGAUAACCUACCCCUGAGAUGGGAAUAACCAUUCGAAAGGAUGGCUAAUACCCAAUAAGACCACGAAUCGCAUGAUUUGUGUUUAAAGAUAGGGACCCGCAAGGGCCUUUCGCUAAGGGAGGGGUUUAUGUCCUAUCAGCUAGUUGGUGAGGUAACGGCUCACCAAGGCUCUGACGGGUAGCCGACCUGAGAGGGUGACCGGCCGCACUGGGACUGAGACACUGCCCAGACUCCUACGGGAGGCUGCAGUCGAGGAUCUUCCGCAAUGCGCGAAAGCGUGACGGAGCGACGCCGCGUGGGUGAUGAAGGCCUUCGGGUUGUAAAGCCCUGUCGCCUGGGAAGAAUGGCGGGAGGUGAAUAGCCAUCUCGUCUGACGCUACCAGGGAAGGAAGCACCGGCUAAAUACGUGCCAGCAGCCGCGGUAAUACGUAUGGUGCGAACGUUGUUCGGAAUUACUGGGCAUAAAGAGCACGUAGGCGGUUGAGCAAGUCCAUUGUGAAAUCCCCCGGCUUAACCGGGGAACUGCAGUGGAUACUACUUGACUUGAGUGCAGGAGGGGAGAGUGGAAUUCCAGAUGGAGCGGUGAAAUGCGUAGACAUCUGGAGGAACGCCGGUGGCGAAAGCGACUCUCUGGUCUGCAACUGACGCUGAGGUGCGAAAGCUAGGGGAGCAAACGGGAUUAGAUACCCCGGUAGUCCUAGCCCUAA
RNAcentral lists this ribosomal RNA (784 nucleotides) under uncultured Planctomycetota bacterium. RNAcentral's name for it is "bacterial SSU rRNA". It matches the Rfam family "Bacterial small subunit ribosomal RNA", at positions 44 to 805 of the family's 1533-position model. Lineage: Bacteria; Pseudomonadati; Planctomycetota. The record is from RNAcentral.